UUUCCAUGAUCCUAUGCUGCCGAGAAAAGCCUCUAGCGAGCUGGUACAUGGCCCGUACCCCCAAACCGACACAGGUGGUCAGGUAGAGAAUACUAAGGCGAUCGAGAGAACUGUGGUUAAGGAACUCGGCAAAAUGCCCCCGUAACUUCGGGAGAAGGGGGACCAGUCCUGGUGACGACAUUUACUGUCUGAGCUGGGGUUGGUCGCAGAGACCAGAGAGAAGCGACUGUUUACUAAAAACACAGGUCCGUGCGAAGUCGUAAGACGAUGUAUACGGACUGACGCCUCCCCGGUGCUGGAAGGUUAAGAGGACCGGUCAGCCACUUCGGUGGCGAAGCUGAGAAUUUAAGCCCCAGUAAACGGCGGUGGUAACUAUAACCAUCCUAAGGUAGCGAAAUUCCUUGGCGGGUAAGUUCCGACCUGCACGAAUGGCGUAACGACUUCUCUGCUGUCUCAACCACAGACUCGGCGAAAUUGCAGUACGAGUAAAGAUGCUCGUUACGCGCGGCAGGACGAAAAGACCUCGGGACCUUCACUAUGGCUUGGUAUUGGUGUUCGGUUCGGUUUGUGUAGGAUAGGUGGGAGACUGUGAAACUCGCACGCCAGUGUGGGUGGAGUCAUUGUUGAAAUACCACUCUGACCGUAUUGGACAUCUAACCUCGGACCAUGAUCUGGUUCAGGGACAGUGCCUGGUGGGUAGUUUAACUGGGGCGGUUGCCUCCCAAAAAGUAACGGAGGCGCCCAAAGGUUCCCUCAGCCUGGUUGGCAAUCAGGUGUUGAGUGUAAGUGCACAAGGGAGCUUGACUAUGAGACGUACAUGUCGAGCAGGGACGAAAGUCGGGACUAGUGAUCCGGCACCGGCAAGUGGAAGCGGUGCCGCUCAACGGAUAAAAGGUACCCCGGGGAUAACAGGCUGAUCUUCCCCAAGAGUCCAUAUCGACGGGAUGGUUUGGCACCUCGAUGUCGGCUCGUCGCAUCCUGGGGCUGGAGUAGGUCCCAAGGGUUGGGCUGUUCGCCCAUUAAAGCGGCACGCGAGCUGGGUUUAGAACGUCGUGAGACAGUUCGGUCUCUAUCCGCCGCGCGCGUAAGAAACUUGAGGAAACCUGUCCCUAGUACGAGAGGACCGGGACGGACGAACCUCUGGUGUGCCAGUUGUUCCACCAGGAGCACCGCUGGUUAGCUACGUUCGGAAGGGAUAACCGCUGAAAGCAUCUAAGCGGGAAGCCUGUUCCAAGAUGAGGUUUCUCACCACCUAGCGUGGUUAAGGCCCCCCACAGACCAUGGGGUUGAUAGGCCAGAACUGUAAGCACAGCAAUGUGUUCAGGUGACUGGUACUAAUCGGCCGAGGACC
Molecule: ribosomal RNA, 1351 nt
Filed under: metagenome
Description: bacterial LSU rRNA
Rfam family: Bacterial large subunit ribosomal RNA
Source: RNAcentral